This 279-nucleotide ribosomal RNA is filed under the name uncultured bacterium. Its description in RNAcentral is "partial 16S ribosomal RNA". It matches the Rfam family "Bacterial small subunit ribosomal RNA", at positions 40 to 339 of the family's 1533-position model. The record is from RNAcentral.
CGGCGGGCUUAACACAUGCAAGUCGAGCGACCUCUUCGGAGGGAGCGGCGGACGGGUGAGUAACACGUAGGUCACGUACCUCUGGAAUGGGGAUAGCCCGGGGAAACUCGGAUUAAUACCCAAUAUGCCGAAAGGUGAAAGGAGCAAUCCGUCCGGAGAUCGGCCUGCGGCCCAUUAUUUAAUCCUUGUUGGUGAGGUAACGGCUCACCAAGGGUACGAUGGGUAGCUGGUCUGAGAGGAUGAUCAGCCACACUGGGACUGAGACACGGCCCAGACUCC